This is a non-coding RNA of Bactrocera oleae (olive fruit fly), 787 nucleotides long. The record is from RefSeq and is a predicted model, not a curated record. Lineage: Eukaryota; Metazoa; Arthropoda; Insecta; Diptera; Tephritidae.
UAAUCAAGAAGCGAACGUGUAUAGAUACAUUGAUAUAUAGAAAUUCAUGUUACAUUUGAGGGAAUUUUGAACAAAAAAAAGUUUGCUCUGUGCAAGAAGAAGUCUUAAUAUGCCCGCUGACGCAAUUUACAAAUGUAUUUCUGCCCGGCGAGUAAACUUUUCAAGUCUGGAUACUAAUAGAAUUCCCACUGUGCCAAAUCUGGAGAAUACGUUGGAUUCGUCUCGUAAAGUCGACUAUUUCGACUUUUCUUGGCCUUUGGAGGAUAUCAGUGGAUGGGUGUUUCGUCGACGGUUAAGGAGCACACAAACUGCCUGGCAAUAAAGACACCCUAGCGCAGCUAUCAAUAGAAUGUUAACCCGUCGCAGCUCCACUUUUUUCGCGCAUCCUACUGCUGAAUAAUUGGGCUUCGCGGAAGCUUGGUCAGCGUUGAACUGCCAUUAGUUUUUAAGCUGUCGCAAGUUCCAUUUGACCCAAAAUGAAUCGCAAGAUGUCUAGUGAGCCCAACGCCUUCAUUAAGGUUAGCUUUCCCCAGUUGUAGAGGUUCUAACUAGUGACAGCCCUAUCGGUGUCCACAAGAUGGGGUUGAUAAACACAGGAGGCCAACUGUAGAAGCUGUUUAUCUUUGCAGGAUUAAGGCGUAAAUUCCAGGAUGUUAACACUUUCAGGUAUCCAGCACACUCGAAUGGGAAUAGAAAUAAAACGUUUAAACAGAUUUGUAUUGGUCUCAAGACACUUUGUGGACUCUCAUAACAAAGAUAAUCAAAAAUAUUUUUGGAAAUUAGAAAA